This 73-nucleotide transfer RNA is filed under the name Chrysemys picta bellii (western painted turtle). Its description in RNAcentral is "tRNA-Lys (TTT) (tRNA-Lys-TTT-16-1)". It matches the Rfam family "tRNA". From Rfam's summary of the family: Transfer RNA (tRNA) molecules are approximately 80 nucleotides in length. Their secondary structure includes four short double-helical elements and three loops (D, anti-codon, and T loops). The record is from Rfam by way of RNAcentral. Lineage: Eukaryota; Metazoa; Chordata; Testudines; Emydidae.
GCCUAGCUAGCUCAGUUGGUAGAGUAUCAGACUUUUAAUCUGAGGGUCCAGGGUUCAAGUCCCUGAUCAGACA